This 254-nucleotide ribosomal RNA is filed under the name uncultured bacterium. RNAcentral describes it as "partial 16S ribosomal RNA". It matches the Rfam family "Bacterial small subunit ribosomal RNA", at positions 524 to 777 of the family's 1533-position model. The record is from RNAcentral.
UACGGGGGGGGCAAGCGUUGUUCGGAAUUACUGGGCGUAAAGGGCUCGUAGGCGGCCAACUAAGUCGGAUGUGAAAUCCCCAGGCUCAACUUGGGAACUGCAUCCGAUACUGGAUGGCUUGAAUCCGGGAGAGGGAUGCAGAAUUCCAGGUGUAGCGGUGAAAUGCGUAGAUAUCUGGAGGAAUACCGGUGGCGAAGGCGGCAUCCUGGACCGGCAUUGACGCUGAUGAGCGAAAGCUAGGGGAGCAAACGGGG